GCACCCGUAGCUCAGUUGGAUUAGAGCACCAGACUACGAAUCUGGGGGUCGCAUGUUCGAGUCAUGCCGGGUGCGCCA
Molecule: transfer RNA, 78 nt
Filed under: Deltaproteobacteria bacterium CG11_big_fil_rev_8_21_14_0_20_47_16
Lineage: Bacteria; Deltaproteobacteria
Description: tRNA-Arg
Rfam family: tRNA
About the family: Transfer RNA (tRNA) molecules are approximately 80 nucleotides in length. Their secondary structure includes four short double-helical elements and three loops (D, anti-codon, and T loops). Further hydrogen bonds mediate the characteristic L-shaped molecular structure. tRNAs have two regions of fundamental functional importance: the anti-codon, which is responsible for specific mRNA codon recognition, and the 3' end, to which the tRNAs corresponding amino acid is attached (by aminoacyl-tRNA synthetases). tRNAs cope with the degeneracy of the genetic code in two manners: having more than one tRNA (with a specific anti-codon) for a particular amino acid; and 'wobble' base-pairing, i.e. permitting non-standard base-pairing at the 3rd anti-codon position.
Source: RNAcentral